This 227-nucleotide ribosomal RNA is filed under the name uncultured bacterium. RNAcentral describes it as "partial 16S ribosomal RNA". It matches the Rfam family "Bacterial small subunit ribosomal RNA", at positions 383 to 607 of the family's 1533-position model. The record is from RNAcentral.
CUGAACCAGCCAAGUAGCGUGAAGGAUAACUGCCCUAUGGGUUGUAAACUUCUUUUAUAAAGGAAUAAAGUCGGGUAUGCAUACCCGUUUGCAUGUACUUUAUGAAUAAGGAUCGGCUAACUCCGUGCCAGCAGCCGCGGUAAUACGGAGGAUCCGAGCGUUAUCCGGAUUUAUUGGGUUUAAAGGGAGCGUAGAUGGAUGUUUAAGUCAGUUGUGAAAGUUUGCGG